Molecule: long non-coding RNA, 614 nt
Organism: Alligator sinensis (Chinese alligator)
Lineage: Eukaryota; Metazoa; Chordata; Crocodylia; Alligatoridae
Exons: 4
Source: RefSeq, a predicted model, not a curated record
GACGCGGGCGCGCCUGCCUUCCCCGGCCAGUCGCUGUGACGCAGGCGGUCACGUGACCGCGCCGCACUCGGGUGACGAGUCCCCGGGCGUCCCGCGCGCCGGAGGUUUAACCCUUGCGGAGCGGAGCCACGAGCCAAAAGGGCAGAGUGGAGACAAGUGUCAUAAGCAACAUCUUAGUGCUGCAUCUGAAGCAGGAGCCUUGCACCAUCUACAUGGAGGGUACAAAACAUUUAUCUACAUGGGAUAGCUAGCAGUUGCUGCUAGUGAACAGAAGCAAUUGUAAAACAUGUUUUGGGUGCAGCUUCUUUUUAGACAUGCCUAUGUGCAGAAGAUUUUAGCUAUGGACAGCAUAAUCGGAGGCAUUUCAAAAUCAGUUAGACAUGGUCAAGCUGUGUGUUUAAGAAGUUUUUUCUCUCAGUGUGCAAACCAUUCUGCUCGUAAAUUAGUUCUGGGAAUAGAAACAAGUUGUGAUGAUACAGGAGCUGCAGUUCUGGAUGAUAGUGGCAACAUUUUAGGAGAAGCUCUGCAUUCUCAAACUGAAGUCCAUUUGAAGUAGGUAAAUACUUCCAUGCAUGCAUUGUUUUUUAAGUGUAAUUGUGAUUAAAUACUACUGA